UUGCGUAGGCGGUCGGUAAAGCGAAUAGUGAAACCUGGUGGCUCAACCAUACAGACUAUUAUUCGAACUCACCGACUCGAGAGUAGCAGAGGUAACUGGAAUUUCUAGUGUAGGAGUGAAAUCCGUAGAUAUUAGAAGGAACACCAAUGGCGUAGGCAGGUUACUGGGCUAUUUCUGACGCUAAGGCACGAAAGCGUGGGGAGCGAACC
This 209-nucleotide ribosomal RNA is filed under the name uncultured bacterium. RNAcentral's name for it is "partial 16S ribosomal RNA". It matches the Rfam family "Bacterial small subunit ribosomal RNA", at positions 567 to 774 of the family's 1533-position model. The record is from RNAcentral.